CUUCUAGUCAGCAAAUUUCCAGAAGGCGUGGGUGAAACAACAGCCUGGGUGUUGGCAUGUCACGAGUUAUCAAGCGCGAUUAAAGAUUCAAGCACAUUGCUCACAAUAUAAUACAGUAAAAUCCAAGCCAUAAAAGGGGACUAUUUUUUUUUAAAUACGCCAACGAAGGAAGAGAUAGUGGACGACUGGACGUGCAGUCUUGGUACAACGAAUUCAAGGCAGCAAAACUGUCUGGUGGAACCAGGAAUUUAAAGGAAUGUGAGUUUGAGGAAUAAUGGCACGAAAUUUGACCUCCACGCUUAUUACGAAAGUCUUGCCAUGUGUUUCUUGUUUCCACCUGGAGUUUUGUCGUAUUUGUGGAAAUUCAAGGACAAUCAAGACAUUUUAUGAUUUUCAUCGUUUAUUUAGAAUAUUUUGCGUGCUUGAAAUACUUGCGCGUCCCUCAUUAGCAUGGCUUGCGUAAUGCCUGAAAUGUUAUGCAUGUUUCAUUACAAUGAAUUAAGCGGCGAUUUAUCAAAUCCUUCAUCUGUAGUUUUGAAUGAUUGAUUGGUUCGUUAUGAUGCAUCGCGUUUUAUGAACUGAUUAUGUUAUUGUUGGUAAAAAUCUUUCUGGCCUUCUCUCGUUCGAGUUUCAACCCAAAAAUUGACCGGGAUUGUGAGCGAUU
Molecule: long non-coding RNA, 664 nt
Organism: Dendronephthya gigantea
Lineage: Eukaryota; Metazoa; Cnidaria; Anthozoa; Malacalcyonacea; Nephtheidae
Exons: 3
Source: RefSeq, a predicted model, not a curated record